GUGUUCACUUCAGCAGCAUACAUGCUAAAAACUGGAACAAAACAGAAAAGAUUAGCAUGAGCCCUGCACGAGAUGACAUACAAGUUCGUGAAGGGUUCCAUAUUCUC
This 107-nucleotide small nuclear RNA is filed under the name Catagonus wagneri (Chacoan peccary). Lineage: Eukaryota; Metazoa; Chordata; Mammalia; Artiodactyla; Tayassuidae. The record is from RNAcentral.